GUAGGUGAACCUGCGGAAGGAUCAUUAGAAAGUUCGACGCUUCGGCGUCCCACCUUCAAACCACUGUGAAACUACCCGUUGCUUCGGCGGCAUCGGCGCCCUCCGGGUGCCGUGUCGGUCCGCCUGAGGCUCCAAACCAAACCUUUCUGUAACCGUAGUCUGACAACUAAAGAUUUAAUUCGUUAAAACUUUCAACAACGGAUCUCUUGGUUCUC
RNAcentral lists this unclassified non-coding RNA (215 nucleotides) under rhizosphere metagenome. Its description in RNAcentral is "partial ribosomal RNA internal transcribed spacer region". The record is from RNAcentral.